CUCUGGACUACGAUGUAGCUGGGAGGAUUAUUUUUUUUUCUCGAGUGAUAUUGCUUUAGGAUGGAGACAAAGCCUAAACAUUUUCCCUUUUGUUGGGUUUUCUCACACAAAUCCGAACAUCUGAAAACAAUGAUUUGUCAUGGGAGACUUUGGCAGCCCGAGCAAAGGUUUACUGUUUCUACUUUGCCUAAAAUAUUUACAAAGAAAAAUAUCUGACAUUCACAGUAAAUCAGACAAUGUUUCAGGCCCCUGACAUAACCCGUGGAGGCAGUUUGCAUGGUCUCCAAGAGGAGGGAAAGGAGAUCCCCUUUCUGGACAGUUUUUUUGGUUCAGUGCAGAAAGCUUGGCUCCCGGGGAAGGUGGGGAGGGUUAGAUAAAAUGGGAUGGGAACACCGAGGGGUCGCAGCGGUCUGUUUUUCCAGCUUGAUCCGCUCCUCACUUUCCCCAGCCAUCCUGAAAAGCCCCGAGGGUCUCCGGUGUAACACACCCUGCUUCCUCCGGGGUUUUCUCUCGCUGGCGGGCUGGGGAUGCCCGGGAGGAGUUCCUCAUCCCUGCCUUCCCAUCCCCACAGCAGCACCUCCGCCCGUGCCUUUGUCUGGCCGGCCCCAAAGCCUCCCCCGUGCCCGAAACCUCCAUCCCGCCGCGGGAAGGGCUGGGGGGAGCCCGGCUCCUCGCCCGGUGGCCCCUCGCAAGGGAGGGAAAAACAAGGGAGCUCUGCGAGCUGAGGACUUCACCCCGCGCUCCAGCUCCCCUCACCCAGGCCACAGCUCACACAAAGCUGAUCUGGUGGAAGCCUCCAGGUCUCCUUUUCUCCCUGCUUGGCUAUCAUCUCUUCCACCUACCGCCCCUCCAGCUUGGCACAGAGGUCUGUCUUUGGAAAUAAGGGCUUUGGGCUUGUCUGAAAUCCUCUGUCAGUGUGACUCUGGGGACACAGCAGCUGGAACACUAACAGCGAGAGGAGAUGAAGGGAAACUCCUUCUGCCUCUUCCUAGUAGUCGUACCUGGGGCUGCCAAAAACGUGCCCAGAGCAGUGCAGUCAGACACACCUAUUUCUCCAGGCUUUUCUUUUCUGGCUCCAGCUUUACACCUUCCUGGAGGAGGGGGACUUCUGGCAUCUGCUUCUCUGAGAGGGAGCACGCCAGAGGAGCUACUCUUGCCAGCAUUUUGUGCCUGGUGAGGGUGCCUUAA
Molecule: long non-coding RNA, 1188 nt
Filed under: Ficedula albicollis (Collared flycatcher)
Lineage: Eukaryota; Metazoa; Chordata; Aves; Passeriformes; Muscicapidae
Description: lncRNA (ENSFALG00000018262.2)
Source: RNAcentral